GCUGCUGUAGCUCAGUUGGUAGAGCGCGUCCUUGGUAAGGACGAGGUCGCGGGUCCGAGUCCCGCCAGCAGCU
Molecule: transfer RNA, 73 nt
Filed under: Phycisphaerae bacterium
Lineage: Bacteria; Pseudomonadati; Planctomycetota; Phycisphaerae
Also listed under: 2 other names
Description: tRNA-Thr
Rfam family: tRNA
About the family: Transfer RNA (tRNA) molecules are approximately 80 nucleotides in length. Their secondary structure includes four short double-helical elements and three loops (D, anti-codon, and T loops).
Source: RNAcentral